This 469-nucleotide ribosomal RNA is filed under the name Dasia grisea. RNAcentral describes it as "partial 16S ribosomal RNA". It matches the Rfam family "Bacterial large subunit ribosomal RNA", at positions 1922 to 2597 of the family's 2925-position model. The record is from RNAcentral. Lineage: Eukaryota; Metazoa; Chordata; Lepidosauria; Squamata; Scincidae.
UUUCAACGGCCGCGGUAUUCUAACCGUGCAAAGGUAGCGUAAUCACUUGUCUUCUAAAUAAAGACCAGUAUGAAUGGCUAAAUGAGGACAAACCUGUCUCUUAUGACCAAUCAGUGAAACUGAUCUCCCAGUACAAAAGCUGGAAUAAACACAUAAGACGAGAAGACCCUGUGGAGCUUAAAACAAACCACUACACAAAACACUAGUGCAGUGUUUUAAGUUGGGGCGACUUCGGAACAAAACAAAACUUCCGAGCACGGAACCACCCCUUCCAACCAAGGCCAACAAGCCAAAGUACAAAGCCGACCCGGCCACGCCGAAAAACGAACCAAGUUACCCCAGGGAUAACAGCGCUAUCUUCUUCAAGAGUCCCUAUCGACAAGAAGGUUUACGACCUCGAUGUUGGAUCAGGACACCCAAAUGGUGCAGCCGCUAUUAAAGGUUCGUUUGUUCAACGAUUAACAGUCCU